CUUACAUGCUGUGACAUGGGAUAAUGGCUGUGACGUUGCCUGAACCAUAUCUGAGGGACUGGAGUCUGAACGCUCAGUUUUUCUGGUAACCACUGGAGGGCCCCCAAAGGGCCAGCAGUCAACCUCCACAUGGGUGACCUUGCAAAUAACCAGAGCCUUCAUCUGGGAGCUCCUCAGUAGCCAGAUUCCAGAGCUCAUGGGGUUGGUGAUGUUGCUGGACAGACUGCUGGGGAUCCCCAGCCCCAGCUCUUCCAGCCAGUAUGUUCCCAGUGGCUGUGAAAUACCAACUGUCUUUGACACCUGUGACUUUUCGAACCGAGACUCCAGUGUUGCCUUUUUGUGCCAUGGCUGGCUUGUGAAGGACCAUUUAUUCACCAUUAGUAGAUACUGUCCAUCUCUGUGUUGACCAGCAGUAAGCUGUACUUCCUCAACGACCUCAGCAGCUUCAGCCAAUGAUCUGCCCUGACCAUAAAACCGUGGUCAGGGCCAGUGCACUAGGUCCUGGCCAGUAUACUGUAGCCCUGGUGAGUACACUGUGAUUCCUGCCAGUGCACUGUCACCUUUGACAUUGUAGUGAGGUGCUGGCCAUGGCAUGGUGGCCCUGACCAGUCCACUGUAAUCCCUGCCAGUGCACUGUCAUCUUUGACAGUGUAUGAGGUACUGGCCAUGGCAUGGUUGCCCUGACCAGUACACUGCAGUGCUAUUACACUGUGAUGUGUAUUUGUAUUUCCUAGAUGGUGGUGUGGCUGAGUAUUUCUCAGUGUUCAUUGCCCAGCUAAAUGUCCCAUCCUAUGACAUAGGAUUCUGGCCAUCUCUCACUAACAAACUAUCACAGGUAUAUAGGAGUUCAUCAUUCUGUCAUUUUGUAGUGUAGGAAACAGGUCCCCUCCACAGCAUGCCUUUCUCACACGCUUCCGGUGUUCAGUAACAGUAUAUUUGCUUUUAAUGUGGUUCAAUUUAUUAGCAACUCCCUUCAAUGAUAAGGUUUCCUAUACUCUUACUUUCCUUCCUUGGAUAGAGGGCAGGCUCUUCAAUACAAUGACUUAGAAAGUUCAUUUUCCUUUAUCUUCAUUUCAGGGAAAAGGCCACAUGGGUGUGGAUUGAGUGAGGGCUGUAUAUUAGUUUGGGUUCUCUAGAGUCACAGAACAUAUGGAUAGUCUUUAUAUAGUUAGGGAAUUUGUCAAUGACUUACAGUCUAUAGUCCAACUCCCCAACAAUGGUCAGCAACAGCUGUGGAUGGAAGUCCAAGGAUCUAGCAGUUUCUCAGUCCCAUGAGGCAAGCAGGCAAGGAAGAAUGAGUAAAUCUUCCUUCUUCCAAUGUCCUCAUAUAUCUCCAGCAGAGGGUGUGGCCCAGAUUAAAGGCAUGUGCCUCCAUGCUUUUAAUCCCAGAUGAUUUUGAACUCAGAGAUCUCCUUGUCAUAAUCUUCUGAAAUUCAUAGCCACUAUGCUUCAAGAUCUCCAUGCUAAGAUCCAGGUCAGAAACUUAUAUCUCUGAGCCUCCAGAUUAGGAUCAUAGGUGAGCCUUCCAAUUCUAGAUUGUAGUUCAUUCCAGAUAUAGUCAAGUUGACAACCAGGAAUAGCCACUACAGGCUGUUUCAUGAAUACCUGGCUUCAAGCACAUCUUAAGGAAAUGAUGACCCCUUUAUUCUGGGGAGACAUGUUACCACCUUUAAGUCCAGAGCACACGUACUUAGAUAACCAUUACCAGUGGUCUAUUUGUUUUGAUUCUCAAGGCAGCACACUGUCUGAGCUAUUGUCACUUUGCAGUAAAAUAAAUGGGGUAGAGGAUCUUCUUACCCAAUUCUUCAAAUAAGUAUCUAUCUAUCUAUCUAUCUAUCUAUCUAUC
Apodemus sylvaticus (European woodmouse) is the source of this 1846-nucleotide long non-coding RNA. RefSeq lists it as uncharacterized. The transcript has 3 exons. The record is from RefSeq and is a predicted model, not a curated record. Lineage: Eukaryota; Metazoa; Chordata; Mammalia; Rodentia; Muridae.